GACGAACGCUGGCGGCGUGCCUAAUACAUGCAAGUCGAACGCUGAAGAGAGGAGCUUGCUCUUCUUGGAUGAGUUGCGAACGGGUGAGUAACGCGUAGGUAACCUGCCUGGUAGCGGGGGAUAACUAUUGGAAACGAUAGCUAAUACCGCAUAAAAUUGAUUAUUGCAUGAUAAUUAAUUGAAAGAUGCAACUGCAUCACUACCAGAUGGACCUGCGUUGUAUUAGCUAGUUGGUGAGGUAACGGCUCACCAAGGCGACGAUACAUAGCCGACCUGAGAGGGUGAUCGGCCACACUGGGACUGAGACACGGCCCAGACUCCUACGGGAGGCAGCAGUAGGGAAUCUUCGGCAAUGGGGGGAACCCUGACCGAGCAACGCCGCGUGAGUGAAGAAGGGUUUCGGAUCGUAAAGCUCUGUUGUAAGAGAAGAACGGGUGUGAGAGUGGAAAGUUCACACUGUGACGGUAUCUUACCAGAAAGGGACGGCUAACUACGUG
Molecule: ribosomal RNA, 497 nt
Filed under: uncultured bacterium
Lineage: Bacteria
Description: partial 16S ribosomal RNA
Rfam family: Bacterial small subunit ribosomal RNA
Source: RNAcentral